GAUGAACGCUGGCGGCGUGCCUAAUACAUGCAAGUCGAGCGAACAGAUAAGGAGCUUGCUCCUUUGAAGUUAGCGGCGGACGGGUGAGUAACACGUGGGUAACCUACCUAUAAGACUGGGAUAACUUCGGGAAACCGGAGCUAAUACCGGAUAACAUUUAGAACCGCAUGGUUCUAAAGUGAAAGAUGGUUUUGCUAUCACUUAUAGAUGGACCCGCGCCGUAUUAGCUAGUUGGUAAGGUAACGGCUUACCAAGGCGACGAUACGUAGCCGACCUGAGAGGGUGAUCGGCCACACUGGAACUGAGACACGGUCCAGACUCCUACGGGAGGCAGCAGUAGGGAAUCUUCCGCAAUGGGCGAAAGCCUGACGGAGCAACGCCGCGUGAGUGAUGAAGGGUUUCGGCUCGUAAAACUCUGUUAUUAGGGAAGAACAAAUGUGUAAGUAACUGUGCACAUCUUGACGGUACCUAAUCAGAAAGCCACGGCUAACUACGUGCCAGCAGCCGCGGUAAUACGUAGGUGGCAAGCGUUAUCCGGAAUUAUUGGGCGUAAAGCGCGCGUAGCGGUUUCUUAAGUCUGAUGUGAAAGCCCACGGCUCAACCGUGGAGGGUCAUUGGAAACUGGGAAACUUGAGUGCAGAAGAGGAAAGUGGAAUUCCAUGUGUAGCGGUGAAAUGCGCAGAGAUAUGGAGGAACACCAGUGGCGAAGGCGACUUUCUGGUCUGUAACUGACGCUGAUGUGCGAAAGCGUGGGGAUCAAACAGGAUUAGAUACCCUGGUAGUCCACGCCGUAAACGAUGAGUGCUAAGUGUUAGGGGGUUUCCGCCCCUUAGUGCUGCAGCUAACGCAUUAGGCACUCCGCCUGGGGAGUACGACCGCAAGGUUGAAACUCAAAGGAAUUGACGGGGACCCGCACAAGCGGUGGAGCAUGUGGUUUAAUUCGAAGCAACGCGAAGAACCUUACCAAAUCUUGACAUCCUUUGAAAACUCUAGAGAUAGAGCCUUCCCCUUCGGGGGACAAAGUGACAGGUGGUGCAUGGUUGUCGUCAGCUCGUGUCGUGAGAUGUUGGGUUAAGUCCCGCAACGAGCGCAACCCUUAAGCUUAGUUGCCAUCAUUAAGUUGGGCACUCUAGGUUGACUGCCGGUGACAAACCGGAGGAAGGUGGGGAUGACGUCAAAUCAUCAUGCCCCUUAUGAUUUGGGCUACACACGUGCUACAAUGGACAAUACAAAGGGCAGCUAAACCGCGAGGUCAUGCAAAUCCCAUAAAGUUGUUCUCAGUUCGGAUUGUAGUCUGCAACUCGACUACAUGAAGCUGGAAUCGCUAGUAAUCGUAGAUCAGCAUGCCUACGGUGAAUACGUUCCCGGGUCU
Molecule: ribosomal RNA, 1372 nt
Filed under: uncultured bacterium
Lineage: Bacteria
Description: bacterial SSU rRNA
Rfam family: Bacterial small subunit ribosomal RNA
Source: RNAcentral